RNAcentral lists this microRNA (22 nucleotides) under Paralichthys olivaceus (Japanese flounder). RNAcentral describes it as "pol-miR-206-5p". Its record names the gene pol-miR-206-5p. The record is from miRBase by way of RNAcentral. Lineage: Eukaryota; Metazoa; Chordata; Actinopteri; Pleuronectiformes; Paralichthyidae.
ACAUGCUUCCUUAUAUCCCCAU